GGAUGUGAGGGCAAUCUGGCUGCGACAUCCGUCACCACAUUCAUCGCCAGGGUUGAUUUGGCUGAUCUGGCUGCCUAGGUGGGUGUCCCCUUCCUCUGUCACCACUCCAUGUGCAUCCCUCCCGAAGCUACUGUGCCCUCAGGGGAAGAAGAUGACCAUCCCCAAUAGAGGAGGACCGUCCUUCAGUCAAGGGUAUACAAGUAGCAAAACAAAAUCCUGCAUUCCCAUCUAGUGCUCCCCUGCU
Canis lupus familiaris (dog) is the source of this 244-nucleotide non-coding RNA. Lineage: Eukaryota; Metazoa; Chordata; Mammalia; Carnivora; Canidae. The record is from Rfam.